RNAcentral lists this unclassified non-coding RNA (432 nucleotides) under soil metagenome. RNAcentral's name for it is "partial contains 5.8S ribosomal RNA, internal transcribed spacer 2, and large subunit ribosomal RNA". The stretch from base 1 to 120 matches the Rfam family "5.8S ribosomal RNA", at positions 35 to 154 of the family's 154-position model. The record is from RNAcentral.
GAUGAAGAACGUAGCGAAAUGCGAUACGUAAUGUGAAUUGCAGAAUUCAGUGAAUCAUCGAAUCUUUGAACGCAUAUUGCGCUCUCUGGUAUUCCGGAGAGCAUGCUUGUUUGAGUAUUAGUAAACACCUCAACUUCCAUAUCUUUUUUGAAAUGGGAGUUGGACUUGAGUGAUCCCAACGCUUUUCCUCACCGAAAAGUGGCGGGUUACUUGAAAUGCAGGUGCAGCUGGACUUUUCUCUGAGCUAUAAGCAUAUCUAUUUAGUCUGCCUAAAAAACAGAUUAUUACCUUUGCUGCAGCUAACAUAAAGGAGAUUAGUUCUUGUGCUGACUGAUGCAGGAUUCACAAAGACGGCUUCGGCCGACUUUGUAAACUCGAUCUCAAAUCAAGUAAGACUACCCGCUGAACUUAAGCAUAUCAAUAAGCGGAGGA